RNAcentral lists this long non-coding RNA (468 nucleotides) under Homo sapiens (human). Its description in RNAcentral is "non-protein coding lnc-ADD3-4:1". Lineage: Eukaryota; Metazoa; Chordata; Mammalia; Primates; Hominidae. The record is from RNAcentral.
AUAACAAACAUAAAGGGAAAGAGGAAAGACUCCUGAUAUACGUUCUCUGGGUUUCUUAGAAAACAUGGAAUUGUUCCUUUGGCCACAGACAUGCGAUUCUACAAAAAAGAUGAUAUUGUAGAUAUCAAAGGAAUGGGUACUGUUCAAAAAGAAAUGUCCACAAAUGUUACCAUGGCAAAAUUGGAAGACUGCGAGCAUGCUAUUAGCAUUGUUGUACACAAACAAGUUAAGGGCAAGAUUCUUGCCAAGAGAAUUAACAUGUGUAUUGAGCAUAUUUUUUAAGCACUCUAAGAACUGAGGUAGCUUCAUGAAAUGCAUGAAGGAAAAUGAUCAGAAAAAUAAGCCAAAGAGAAAGGUUUCUGGGUUCAGCUGAAGCACCAGCCUGCUCUAUCCAGAGACGCGUACUUUAUAAGAACCAGUGGAAAGAUGCCUGAGCUGCUGGAACCUAUUCCCUGUGAAUUCAUGGCA